RNAcentral lists this unclassified non-coding RNA (275 nucleotides) under uncultured bacterium. RNAcentral's name for it is "contains 16S-23S intergenic spacer region". The record is from RNAcentral.
UCCAGCCUCUGUCUCUCUCUCUCUAUAUAUAUUUCUUGUUAUUUUUCCAUCAUUUUCUUUUUUCUUUCCAUUAUUUUUUAGCUUCUGAUCUUAAUUUUGUACUAGAGAGGCAAGAGAGGAUCCGAUUUCCAACAUAUCAUCUUUCAAUAAAGCACGAGCAUAAAUGUAUUUUAUUAUGGCCAAAAACUUUUUACCACUCACCAUAAUUCGCCAAGUAGCAGCAAAAAGACCAUAAAAGGCAACUCUCAAGUUAGUUCCAUAUCAACCCAAUUCUC